AUAAAAGCAAAAUCUAUUUAUUCACUUGUUGGGUUCUGAGCAUCAACCUGCUGACAGAUCUCAUAACAUGGCUCAUCCUUAGUCCCACAGGACCAUCCUGAUGUUUACUACUUGAUCUUGGGGAGAAAAAAAGCAUAUAAGCCACAGGUCUCAGCAAAGUGUUUCUUACUAUAGGGAUGAUUUUUAUGUGAGUUGAGAAUGACAGGUCAGGUCCGAUGCUUAAAAAAAUCCCGAGAAAGCCCUCAGUUUCUUGCUGGGAUAAUGAAAGUCAUAUAGAAAGCAAUUUGCAAUCCUGUUUUAGGCUUGCAUCGUAUCACCUACUACCAUCAUGGAGAGAUGGCUAUAGACAGCAUGAGAAUUAUUGCCAAAUAGUCACAGGGGAAGGCUGAUCCUGUUUCUGAAAUACACUUUGAUACUUAUGAGAUAAGGAGAGUUUCUCACUACAAGAAUAGAUUAGAGCCCUAAGCAGCAUAGCUGCUGAUUUUUUCCACCAUAGGAGAAGAAGCAGGAGGAGGAGUAGGAGGGUUAUGACAACUUUUGCAAUCUACCACAGGACAAAACUAAAUAGAAACACCCUACCAAGCCAUUGUGUUUUUGUUCCCAUUCAUGUAACUGAAUUGACUUUUUUCCUGGACUCUUACUUGCCAGGAGAAGGGGACAAUCUGGAAGGAGAAGGGGAAAGAGAAGAAUAAUAAAGUCUUUAUGUAAAAGUGGCCAUAAACCUUCUUUUCUCCUUUCAUUUAUGCCCUCUGUAAUGUGACUUUGCAGCUUGUACCUAUGCUGAAUCUGCUUUCCUCCCCGCUUCAGUUAGGAGUGUUCUCACAACUUGUUUUGGGCAACAGAAAGUGGCAGACAUAUCAGAGUGGCAGUUCCAAGCCUAAACUUUUAAGAAGUCUUGCACAUUUCCACUCUCUUGGAACCCUGCUGCUGCAAUGUGAACAAGUCCAGAAUGGCCUGCUGCAUGAUGGUAGACCAUAUGGAGAGAAUCCUCAGGCUUCCCAGUUGACUAGCUGAGGCCAUCAUAGACCAGACAGCCCUUAGCUGCUUUCCCCAUCCCCCAAAGUUGGCUACAGACAUAUGAGCAAACCCAGCCAAAUUCAGCCAAGUCUGGCUCAGAUCAGCAAACUGCACAGUUGAUCCAUGAAUUAGUAAGCAACUUGCUGUUGUUUAAAACAUUAAGUAUUGGGAUGAUUUAUCACAUAGCAAAGACCAACUUAUACAUGACCCAAGCCAUUGAAACACACACUCCAAACCACCCUGUGGUUCUUUAACAUGCCUCAUAGUCUAAGUUUUAUAUAAAUGAGCAGAGGGUACCAGAGCUCAGUUUUCUUGUAUCCUGGGCUGGGUAAAAGUUCUGUAAUGAACCCACUUAUAGCUCCAUUGGCUUUAGACCUGAGUCAGAGAGGAGAUGUAAUUUUUCUUCUAGCUUUAUAAUUCCCUUUAAUUUUUUUCUUCAAAUCUUUUCCUAUUGAAUUUGAAUAAUCUUAAAGUAAUCUUGGUUGUGCUGUUAUGUAGUUUGUAAUUUUUGUGUGUCUUGGGGUGAGAGGAAAGGGAAAACAGGGGUGACAUGUAUUGAUUGGGAACCCAGUGAGAUGAAAGAUAGACCAAAACCUUAUGUGAAAUCACAUGUUGAAUAAACCCAGGGCUAUAUAUAAAUCAUCUCCUGCAAUAUGUACCUUAUUUUCUUUGCAUUAAAUGAGAAAGGGACAAUACCUACUUCCAUAUCAUGGCCCAAAAUUUCUCCAAGCAUUUCCUCAAACCCAUGUUAAUAAUUCAUUCAUUUAUCUAUUUGCUCUUUUAUUUGUUCAGUAAAUAUGGGGCACAGAGGAGGGAUGUCAAGUUGUAGCAUGCAUGAGCAUUUGCAUAGAUAUACUUCCAAGAGAAGAGAGGGAGAGCAUUCUAAUGCCCUACAAUGGUUCAUAGCAGGGAAAACCUGAGAGUAGAGCAUCUACACAUUUUCUUCAACUGUCUAGACAGCCACAGUGAUAAGAUGGAUAUUCAUUUUUUCUGGACUCAAGGACAGCUGGAGACUAUUUCUCCCUGUGUGUUCUGUGACCUUCAUUAUACAUCAUGAAAGAAAUUCAGCCAGGGUUGGACUGAGGGCUGCCGAGGAGCACCCAAUGCCUAGAGGGUGAGAAAUAAAAAUAAAAUUAAAA
This 2156-nucleotide long non-coding RNA is filed under the name Homo sapiens (human). RNAcentral's name for it is "HSALNT0153222". Lineage: Eukaryota; Metazoa; Chordata; Mammalia; Primates; Hominidae. The record is from RNAcentral.